GGAAGGGAAACAUCACUGGUGUGAUGUCCGGGCUUCAAACCCGGGAGGGGCCGCGAGACGGUCUCUGGUGGGUUCGACUCCCACUCUCUUCCGCCA
Molecule: transfer RNA, 96 nt
Filed under: Ancylobacter tetraedralis
Lineage: Bacteria; Pseudomonadati; Pseudomonadota; Alphaproteobacteria; Hyphomicrobiales; Xanthobacteraceae
Description: tRNA-Sec
Rfam family: Selenocysteine transfer RNA
Source: RNAcentral